AGAAGCGAUACCGCGAGGAGGAGCAAAUCUGAAAAAAGACGUCCCUAGUUCGGAUUGUAGGCUGAAACUCGCCUACAUGAAGCUGGAAUUGCUAGUAAUCACAGGUCAGCAUACUGUGGUGAAUACGUUCCCGGGCCUUGUACACACCGCCCGUCACACCAUGAGAGUUGAGAACACCCGAAGUCCGUAGCCUAACCGCAAGGGGGGCGCGGCCGAAGGUGGGUUCGAUAAUUGGGGUGAAGUCGUAACAAGGUAUC
This 257-nucleotide ribosomal RNA is filed under the name uncultured bacterium. RNAcentral describes it as "partial 16S ribosomal RNA". It matches the Rfam family "Bacterial small subunit ribosomal RNA", at positions 1245 to 1500 of the family's 1533-position model. The record is from RNAcentral.